UACGGGGGGGGCAAGCGUUGUUCGGAAUUACUGGGCGUAAAGGGUUCGUAGGUGGCUUGCUAAGUCAGACGUGAAAUCCCUCGGCUCAACCGUGGAAGUGCAUGGGAAACUGCAGAGCUUGAGUACUUAAGAGGAUCGCGGAAUUCCCGGUGUAGAGGUGAAAUUCGUAGAUAUCGGGAGGAACACCAGUGGCGAAGGCGGCGAUCUGGGAAGAUACUGACGCUGAGGUGCGAAAGCGUGGGGAGCAAACAGG
This 253-nucleotide ribosomal RNA is filed under the name uncultured bacterium. RNAcentral describes it as "partial 16S ribosomal RNA". It matches the Rfam family "Bacterial small subunit ribosomal RNA", at positions 524 to 776 of the family's 1533-position model. The record is from RNAcentral.